GCUUACGGCCAUACAACCCUGAACACGCCCGAUCUCGUCUUAUCUCGGAAGCCAAGCUGGGUCGUGUCUGGUCAGUACUUGGAUGGGAGACCGCCUGGGAAUACCACGUGCUGUAAGCU
This 119-nucleotide ribosomal RNA is filed under the name Maylandia zebra (zebra mbuna). Lineage: Eukaryota; Metazoa; Chordata; Actinopteri; Cichliformes; Cichlidae. The record is from RNAcentral.